AGAGUUUGAUCUUGGCUCAGAACGAACGCUGGCGGCGUGCUUAAUACAUGCAAGUCGUGCGAGAAAGUGUAGCAAUACAUGAGUAAGCGGCGAACGGGUGAGUAACACGUAAACAAUCUUCCUCUAAAUCGGGAGUAACUCUGCCAACGCGGGGCUAAUACCGGAUGUGAGUUACGGAUCGCAUGAUCUGUAAUUUAAAGGUGACCUCUACUUGUAAGUUACCGUUUAGAGAUGAGUUUGCGUACCAUUAGCUAGUUGGUGAGGUAACGGCCCACCAAGGCUAUGAUGGUUAGCCGGCCUGAGAGGGCGAUCGGCCACAUUGGGACUGAGAUACGGCCCAGACUCCUACGGGAGGCAGUAGUAGGGAAUUUUGCGCAAUGGACGAAAGUCUGACGCAGCAACGCCGCGUGAGUGAUGAAGGUCUUCGGAUUGUAAAGCUCUGUUGGAUGGGAAGAAAGAUUUUGCAGCUAACAUCUGCAGGAUGUGACGGUACCAUUCGAGGAAGCUCCGGCCAACUACGUGCCAGCAGCCGCGUAAUAUGUAGGGAGCUAGCGUUGUUCGGAAUUACUGGGUGUAAAGGGAGAGUAGGCGGAACGGUAAGUUAGGAGUGAAAUGUACGGGCUUAACCCGUAAUCUGCUUUUAAUACUGCCAUUCUUGAGUAUGGGAGAGGAUGAUAGAAUUCCAGGUGUAGCGGUGGAAUGCGUAGAUAUCUGGAAGAAUACCAGUUGCGAAGGCGGUCAUCUGGCCCAAUACUGACGCUGAGGCUCGAAAGCUAGGGUAGCAAACAGGAUUAGAUACCCUGGUAGUCCUAGCCGUAAACCAUGGAUACUAGAUGUUGGAGGAGUCAAUCCUUUCAGUGUCGUAGUUAACGCGAUAAGUAUCCCACCUGGGGAGUACGCUCGCAAGGGUGAAACUCAAAAGAAUUGACGGGGGCCCGCACAAGCGGUGGAGCAUGUGCUUUAAUUUGAUGCAACGCGAAGAACCUUACCUGGGCUUGACAUGGGAAUGAAAGUCUGCAGAAACGUAGGCCUUUCCGCAAGGAACAUUCUACACAGGUGCUGCGUGGCUGUCGUCAGCUCGUGUCGUGAGAUGUUGGGUUAAGUCCCGCAACGAGCGCAACCCUCGUCCUUAGUUGCCAUCAGGUAAUGCUGGGAACUCUAAGGAGACUGCCUGGUUUAACCAGGAGGAAGGUGGGGAUGACGUCAAGUCAUCAUGGCUCUUACGUCCAGGGCUAGACACGUGCUACAAUGGCCGGUACAACGGGCUGCACACUGCAAAGUCAAGCUAAUCCCUUAAAACCGGUCUCAGUUCGGAUUGGAGUCUGCAAUUCGACUCCAUGAAGCUGGAAUCGCUAGUAAUCGUGGAUCAGCAUGCCACGGUGAAUACGUUCCCGGGCCUUGUACACACCGCCCGUCAAGCCAUGAAAGAUGGGAGUACCCAAAGCCAUUCAUCUAACCCGCAAGGGAGGGGAAUGCCUAAGGUAAGACCAUUGAUUGGGGCUAAGUCGAAACAAGGUA
Molecule: ribosomal RNA, 1518 nt
Filed under: metagenome
Description: bacterial SSU rRNA
Rfam family: Bacterial small subunit ribosomal RNA
Source: RNAcentral